GCCAUGGUGGCUCAGUGAUGGAGCAUCAACCUAUGAACUAGGAGGUCAGGGUUUGAUUCCUGGUCAGGGCA
Molecule: transfer RNA, 71 nt
Filed under: Myotis lucifugus (little brown bat)
Lineage: Eukaryota; Metazoa; Chordata; Mammalia; Chiroptera; Vespertilionidae
Rfam family: tRNA
About the family: Transfer RNA (tRNA) molecules are approximately 80 nucleotides in length. Their secondary structure includes four short double-helical elements and three loops (D, anti-codon, and T loops). Further hydrogen bonds mediate the characteristic L-shaped molecular structure. tRNAs have two regions of fundamental functional importance: the anti-codon, which is responsible for specific mRNA codon recognition, and the 3' end, to which the tRNAs corresponding amino acid is attached (by aminoacyl-tRNA synthetases). tRNAs cope with the degeneracy of the genetic code in two manners: having more than one tRNA (with a specific anti-codon) for a particular amino acid; and 'wobble' base-pairing, i.e. permitting non-standard base-pairing at the 3rd anti-codon position.
Source: Rfam by way of RNAcentral